RNAcentral lists this long non-coding RNA (583 nucleotides) under Heterocephalus glaber (naked mole-rat). Its description in RNAcentral is "lncRNA (ENSHGLG00100038564.1)". The record is from RNAcentral. Lineage: Eukaryota; Metazoa; Chordata; Mammalia; Rodentia; Bathyergidae.
GUAUGAUCAGAAUAGGAUCAGAGACACAAGGAAGAUUUAUUGAAGGGGUUGCUCCAGCAAAUAUUUUGGAAAAAGGACCCCAGGCAGAGAGAAAGGAGCCAGGUAACCUGCAGGUGUCGAAGGGCAGUAAGCCAACGUUGAACUGCCCUCAUUGUCAUUUUUCAGGCUGUUCUUAUUCUACUGGCUAGUUCAGAGCAGCCAUUAGAGCAAGAGGGAUGAAGAUCUUGGAUUUAUGAAAUGGAACAGAACUGUCUAAAACAAGCAAGGUUCCCAGACAACUGUCUCAGUGGUCUCAGCACUUACUUCUCUGAUGGAGGAGCAUCAUUCUUGAACUGCUAUUGUGAGUAAUGUGGAAUCAUGGGAGGAUUAUAAUCAUAUCUGCAUUUUAGAAAGAUAACCCUAUUAACAGGCUAUAUGGAAAUAUAUUUAAAACUCUUUUACUAUUAUGGUUGGGUAUUAACUUUGAAGUAGUGGGCAGUUUUUAUUCUAUAUUAUUUUCUUAAUCUUUUCAUCCAUCUCUCAUCUUGUUCCUUUGAGCAAGGUUAGUCUUUGCUCCUUGCUUCGGAGAAGGGGAAGUCCACAG